RNAcentral lists this transfer RNA (69 nucleotides) under Ictidomys tridecemlineatus (thirteen-lined ground squirrel). Its description in RNAcentral is "Spermophilus tridecemlineatus (thirteen-lined ground squirrel) tRNA". It matches the Rfam family "tRNA". Rfam says of the family: Transfer RNA (tRNA) molecules are approximately 80 nucleotides in length. The record is from Rfam by way of RNAcentral. Lineage: Eukaryota; Metazoa; Chordata; Mammalia; Rodentia; Sciuridae.
GGGGUUGUGGCUCAGUGGUAGAGCGCUCACCUAGCAUGCCUGAGGCCCUGGGUUCGAUCCUCAGCACCA